AAAAAUCGUAAGCGUAUCGUUAAUAUUCUAAUAAGGGAGGUGGUUGAGCGUAAAGUUGACAAAUAUACCGCGAUAUUUCAUGAUAUGAGUCGACAACUUAUUGAAUUGUUUCCCACGGAAAAAUAUGAAACAUAUUUUGUACCCCACUCCGGAUCACAAUCUGCCAGAGGUGCCUUGUAUUAUCGUUACUCAAAUUAUACACGGCAGCUUCGCAAAGAGGGUCUGUUGGCCUAUAAGAAAUUAAAGCCUCGAAUGUGUACAAAAUAAAAA
Long non-coding RNA from Musca vetustissima, 270 nucleotides. RefSeq lists it as uncharacterized. NCBI's taxonomy places the organism in Eukaryota, Metazoa, Arthropoda, Insecta, Diptera, Muscidae. The record is from RefSeq and is a predicted model, not a curated record. The transcript is spliced from 2 exons.